This 258-nucleotide ribosomal RNA is filed under the name uncultured bacterium. RNAcentral describes it as "partial 16S ribosomal RNA". It matches the Rfam family "Bacterial small subunit ribosomal RNA", at positions 524 to 777 of the family's 1533-position model. The record is from RNAcentral.
UACGUAGGGUGCGAGCGUUAAUCGGAAUUACUGGGCGUAAAGCGUGCGCAGGCGGUGAUGUAAGACAGGUGUGAAAUCCCCGGGCUUAACCUGGGAACUGCAUUUGUGACUGCAUAGCUAGAGUACGGUAGAGGGGGAUGGAAUUCCGCGUGUAGCAGUGAAAUGCGUAGAUAUUCGCAAGAACACCAGUGGCGAAAGGCGGCUCACUGGCCCGGAACUGACGCUGAGGCACGAAAAGCGUGGGGGAGCAAAACAGGG